Molecule: ribosomal RNA, 597 nt
Filed under: uncultured bacterium
Lineage: Bacteria
Description: bacterial SSU rRNA
Rfam family: Bacterial small subunit ribosomal RNA
Source: RNAcentral
AGAGUUUGAUCCUGGCUCAGAAUCAACGCUGGCGGCGUGCCUAACACAUGCAAGUCGCACGAGAAAGGGUAGCAAUACCUGAGUAAAGUGGUGCACGGGUGAGUAACACGUGACUAACCUACCCUCGAGUGGGGAAUAACCUAGAGAAAUCUGGGCUAAUACCGCAUAACACUUACGAGUCAAAGCAGCAAUGCGCUUGGGGAGGGGGUCGCGGCCGAUUAGCUAGUUGGCGGGGUAAUGGCCCACCAAGGCGAUGAUCGGUAUCCGGCCUGAGAGGGCGCACGGACACACUGGAACUGAAACACGGUCCAGACUCCUACGGGAGGCAGCAGUGGGGAAUUUUGCGCAAUGGGGGAAACCCUGACGCAGCAACGCCGCGUGGAGGAUGAAAUAUCUUGGUAUGUAAACUCCUUUCGAUGGGGAAGAUUAUGACGGUACCCAUAGAAGAAGCCCCGGCUAACUUCGUGCCAGCAGCCGCGGUAAUACGAGGGGGGCAAGCGUUGUUCGGAAUUAUUGGGCGUAAAGGGUGCGUAGGCGGUUUGGCAAGUCUGGUGUGAAAUCUUCGGGCUCAACUCGAAGUCUGCACUAGAAACUGCC